AGGACAUUCCAGAGCAUUCCAUGGGGACACCUAUGAGUUUAUCCCAGCCCUACAGGUAUUUGUAGGGCACAGAGGAUAUUCUAGAGCAUUCCAUGGGGACACCUAUAGGGUCAUUCCCAACCCUACAGGUAUUUGUAGGGCACAGAGCAUUCCAUGGGGACACCUAUGGGUUUAUUCCUGACCCUACAGGUAUUUGUAGGGCACAGAGGACAUCCCAGAGCAUUCCAUGGGGACACCUAUGGGUUUAUUCCCGACCCUACAGGUACCUGUAGGGCACAGAGCAUUCCAUGGGGACACCUGUGGGUUUAUUCCUGACCCUACAGGUAUUUGUAGGGCACAGAGAACAUUCCAGAGCAUUCCAUAGGGACACCUAUGGGUUCAUUCCU
Poecile atricapillus (Black-capped chickadee) is the source of this 386-nucleotide long non-coding RNA. RefSeq lists it as uncharacterized. The transcript has 3 exons. The record is from RefSeq and is a predicted model, not a curated record. NCBI's taxonomy places the organism in Eukaryota, Metazoa, Chordata, Aves, Passeriformes, Paridae.